GUCUCACUUCAGCAGCACACAUACUAAAAUUGGAGCAGUAUAGAGAAGGUUAGCAUGGCCGUCCGCAGGGAUGACACACAAAUUCAUGAAGUAUUCCUUUCUUUU
RNAcentral lists this small nuclear RNA (105 nucleotides) under Chrysolophus pictus (golden pheasant). The record is from RNAcentral. Lineage: Eukaryota; Metazoa; Chordata; Aves; Galliformes; Phasianidae.